Long non-coding RNA from Triticum dicoccoides, 335 nucleotides. RefSeq lists it as uncharacterized. The transcript has 3 exons. The record is from RefSeq and is a predicted model, not a curated record. Lineage: Eukaryota; Viridiplantae; Streptophyta; Magnoliopsida; Poales; Poaceae.
UCUCUGCACAGAUUAUCUCGUCUCCGUUUCAUUCGCUUCUCCACCCAGAUCGGCUGCACAGAUGUCCUCAUUUUUUUUCCUACUGUCGAGCCCCCUAAUUUGCUUAUUUAACUCGAUUGCCACCGCCUUCUGAAACCAUGCAAUGUUUGUCUGUAAGAGAAGAAAGACAAACACUCGGUUUUUAAACAUAAAGCUGAAUUCCUUCACAGUCCACAAAUAGGAAGUUAGAAUUUGACAAACCUGGGACAAGCACAUUACCUGAUUUUCUGCUGAAGGUUAAUAGCAUGGAGCCAACUGGAGGAAGGAAAAAUCCAGGAUGCAAUUAAUGUGACUUA